This 464-nucleotide ribosomal RNA is filed under the name uncultured bacterium. RNAcentral's name for it is "bacterial SSU rRNA". It matches the Rfam family "Bacterial small subunit ribosomal RNA", at positions 330 to 792 of the family's 1533-position model. The record is from RNAcentral.
UCCAGACUCCUACGGGAGGCAGCAGUGAGGAAUAUUGGUCAAUGGGCGCGAGCCUGAACCAGCCAAGUCGCGUGAGGGAAGACGGUCCUAUGGAUUGUAAACCUCUUUUGUCGGGGAGCAAAAGACGCCACGCGUGGCGUUCCGAGAGUACCCGAAGAAAAAGCAUCGGCUAACUCCGUGCCAGCAGCCGCGGUAAUACGGAGGAUGCGAGCGUUAUCCGGAUUUAUUGGGUUUAAAGGGUGCGUAGGCGGAAUAUCAAGUCAGCGGUAAAAAUUCGGGGCUCAACCCCGUCGUGCCGUUGAAACUGGUCUUCUUGAGUGAGCGAGAAGUAUGCGGAAUGCGUGGUGUAGCGGUGAAAUGCAUAGAUAUCACGCAGAACUCCGAUUGCGAAGGCAGCAUACCGGCGCUCAACUGACGCUGAGGCACGAAAGCGUGGGGAUCGAACAGGAUUAGAUACCCGUGUA